CGGCAGCGACAACAUUGACCCUUCGGGUGAUUUGUUGGGCGGCGAGCGGCGGACGGGUGAGUAAUGCUUAGGAAUUUGCCCAGUCGAGGGGGACAACAGUUGGAAACGACUGCUAAUACCGCAUACGCCCUACGGGGGAAAGCAGGGGCUCUUCGGACCUUGCGCGAUUGGAUAAGCCUAAGUGAGAUUAGCUAGUUGGUGAGGUAAUGGCUCACCAAGGCGACGAUCUCUAGCUGGUUUGAGAGGAUGAUCAGCCACACUGGGACUGAGACACGGCCCAGACUCCUACGGGAGGCAGCAGUGGGGAAUAUUGCACAAUGGGCGAAAGCCUGAUGCAGCCAUGCCGCGUGUGUGAAGAAGGCCUUCGGGUUGUAAAGCACUUUCAGCGAGGAGGAAAGGUUGACGGUUAAUACCCGUCAGCUGUGACGUUACUCGCAGAAGAAGCACCGGCUAACUCCGUGCCAGCAGC
Molecule: ribosomal RNA, 469 nt
Filed under: bacterium BSD32-6-2
Lineage: Bacteria
Description: bacterial SSU rRNA
Rfam family: Bacterial small subunit ribosomal RNA
Source: RNAcentral